RNAcentral lists this ribosomal RNA (266 nucleotides) under uncultured Staphylococcus sp. Its description in RNAcentral is "partial 16S ribosomal RNA". It matches the Rfam family "Bacterial small subunit ribosomal RNA", at positions 96 to 355 of the family's 1533-position model. The record is from RNAcentral. Lineage: Bacteria; Bacillati; Bacillota; Bacilli; Caryophanales; Staphylococcaceae.
CGGCGGACGGGUGAGUAACACGUGGAUAACCUACCUAUAAGACUGGGAUAACUUCGGGAAACCGGAGCUAAUACCGGAUAAUAUAUUGAACCGCAUGGUUCAAUAGUGAAAGACGGUUUUGCUGUCACUUAUAGAUGGAUCCGCGCCGCAUUAGCUAGUUGGUAAGGUAACGGCUUACCAAGGCAACGAUGCGUAGCCGACCUGAGAGGGUGAUCGGCCACACUGGAACUGAGACACGGUCCAGACUCCUACGGGAGGUAGCAGCA